Non-coding RNA from Jatropha curcas, 726 nucleotides. The record is from RefSeq and is a predicted model, not a curated record. NCBI's taxonomy places the organism in Eukaryota, Viridiplantae, Streptophyta, Magnoliopsida, Malpighiales, Euphorbiaceae.
CACUUAGCAAUGAAAACGACGCCACUUUUGCCUGGAGGAAAAAUCCCUCAUCUUCCUCCCUCGGCUCGCAUUGCUCUCUGUCUCUCUCGUAUGCCAUGUUUACUUGUUCUAUCUCGUUUCCAUCCCUGAUUGAAGCCCCUUACGGUGCCACGAAAACACCAAGAUAACCACAACCCACAAUCUCUUACCCCCUCAAAUAGCCAUAGCAGCAACCGAGAACCCAUAGCAAUCAACCACUCACUUGCCUCAAUUUCCCAGCCCUCAUUCUGAGUCGGAUUACGCCCUUAAUAUCCGAUCCGUUUGACCCAUUUGGAACAGCAAAUUACACUAAUUUUUACAAGGAAUUCCAACAAUAUUCACAAUAAUAAUAGGGCCGCUGGUUUUUUGUGCUCCAAUUCCCUCAAAUCGAAGCUGAUUCUAGUUAAAGAAGAAUGGUGUUAUGUUACCCAUCAACACCGAAGAAAUUGGCAAUGACGGUGGGAUGCUUCAUUGCUGGAGCAACCCUCUUUGCAGUUGGCUCACAUUUCUCCUAUGUCCACGUUGCACCCCAACAAGCUCGCAUCAAAGCUCGAAAUGAUUUUGUUAAGGAACGAUUGCGAAAGAAACAUGGCAAAGGAUAGAUAAGCGUAGGUCUUCUUUAUUUAUUUUAUUACCCCUUUUUGUCAAAUGAAAAUUGCAUUUUUAAUGGUGGAAGUUCAAUAAAAUAAGUGUUUCAUUCACGGAUUA